GAGGGAGGAUGCAAGUGUUAUCCGGAAUCACUGGGCGUAAAGCGUCUGUAGGUGGUCAAAUAAGUCAACUGUUAAAUCUUGAGGCUCAACCUCAAAAUCGCAGUCGAAACUAUUAGACUAGAGUAUAGUAGGGGUAAAGGGAAUUUCCAGUGGAGCGGUGAAAUGCGUAGAUAUUGGAAAGAACACCGAUGGCGAAGGCACUUUACUGGGCUAUUACUAACACUGCGAUACCAAAGCUAGGGUAGCAAAUGGG
Molecule: ribosomal RNA, 253 nt
Filed under: uncultured bacterium
Lineage: Bacteria
Description: partial 16S ribosomal RNA
Rfam family: Bacterial small subunit ribosomal RNA
Source: RNAcentral